This 247-nucleotide ribosomal RNA is filed under the name uncultured bacterium. RNAcentral's name for it is "partial 16S ribosomal RNA". It matches the Rfam family "Bacterial small subunit ribosomal RNA", at positions 523 to 769 of the family's 1533-position model. The record is from RNAcentral.
AGACGAACCGUACAAACGUUAUUCGGAAUCACUGGGCUUAAAGGGUGCGUAGGCGGCUUUGCAAGUCGGGUGUGAAAGCCCUCGGCUCAACCGAGGAAUUGCGCCCGAAACUGCCGAGCUUGAGGGACACAGAGGUAAGCGGAACUAAGGGUGGAGCGGUGAAAUGCGUUGAUAUCCUUAGGAACACCAGGAGCGAAAGCGGCUUACUGGGUGUCUACUGACGCUGAGGCACGAAAGCUAGGGGAGC